Macaca mulatta (Rhesus monkey) is the source of this 1191-nucleotide non-coding RNA. The record is from RefSeq and is a predicted model, not a curated record. NCBI's taxonomy places the organism in Eukaryota, Metazoa, Chordata, Mammalia, Primates, Cercopithecidae.
AUCAGAAAGUUGCUAAUAUGUUAGCAACGGGUCCAAGAAAGUGGAACGGUGGCACUUCUGCUAUGUCUCUUCCACAUAUACCAGUUCCAUCCCUCUGAGUCGUUGCUCAUCAAUCAUACUGGGAAGCUGACUUUUAUUCCGCACACUUCACCACUAACUGCAUUAGAGAGCUGAAAAACUUACUCAAAGUUUAGAAUGUGAUAAACGUAAUCAAAUUGCUCUAGUCAAAUUCUAACAGUGGUGAAUAGAUGACACUAAUUACCUUUUCUUAUUAUGCUACAAAUGUGGUUUACUCCAUCUUUAUUCAUGAAGAAAUAUCAUGCAACCCACCGAGAGGACUGCAGCAGGAUGUAAUAUUGGCUUAUUUGUUUCCUUAGUUUUACUUCUUUCUUUACCAGCAUCCAAAAGAUGAAAUUUUAAGCUGCAAUAUAUUUAUAUGCAGUAGUUUUUUACCCACUUUGGAAGAUAAUUGCUACCCAGUGCAAAGCCUCACAAUUCUGCAUAAACAAGUGCUUUUGAAACUCCAGUAAAAUGAUAUAAACUUUUUUUUUUGUGGUGGUUGGCACUUACUUUUGUUUCAGAGUAAGUGAUAUAUUUUUUUUUAAAUGAGUUAACACAGAAAAAAAUGAAGCAUGUGCUUAAAAAUGCAUCGAGAUGAGAGAAAUUGAACCACUCAUUUCAGAAAAAAAUAUGGAACUAUGCCACAGUUAAAGUUUUUUCUACAUUUUUACAAGUGGAAAUUUCUCACUAAUUCACCUUGAAACUAGUUCAUAGGAAAUAAUUAUUCAAACUUGCUUACAUGCUGUCUGGUUGAAAUAAUUUACAUACCUAUUUCCAGUGGUCAUAGUAGAGCCAAGUUUCAAAACCUUGUCACCAGAUGAUUACAUGCUCUUUCCAUACAUCAAAUGCUGUACUGGGGAUGAUUAUCUGUGAAAGUUUCUAUUUUCAUUUGUCAGAUAACCAGAAACUAUUUUGUUUUAAUACUUGCCAGGUUAAACCAACCUCAGUAUUUUCUCAUAAGUCCAUAAGGCUUACUUACGAUACUAAAGGUUAGGACAUGAAAAUAUUAAGCAGAAGUAUGCCUAUAACAUCCUAAGUACAAUAUAAUAUUAAUUGAUUUUAGAACCACUAAAUUCUUCACAUUACAAUGGAAAGUAUAUCUGAAAUUCAAUAAAGAAGAUCUAAAUGAAA